AGGACGAACGCUGGCGGCGUGCUUAACACAUGCAAGUCGAGCGAGGCCCUUCCUUCGGGAGGGUGUCCUAGCGGCGAACGGGUGAGUAACACGUGGGCAACCUGCCCUCAGCUCUGGGAUAACUCCAAGAAAUUGGGGCUAAUACCGGAUAUGACCGCUGACCGCAUGGUCUGGUGGUGGAAAGAUUUAUCGGCUGGGGAUGGGCCCGCGGCCUAUCAGCUUGUUGGUGGGGUAGUGGCCUACCAAGGCGACGACGGGUAGCCGGCCUGAGAGGGUGACCGGCCACACUGGGACUGAGACACGGCCCAGACUCCUACGGGAGGCAGCAGUGGGGAACAUUGCGCAAUGGGCGGAAGCCUGACGCAGCGACGCCGCGUGGGGGAUGACGGCCUUCGGGUUGUAACCUCUUUCAGCAGGGACGAAGCGAAAGUGACGGUACCUGCAGAAGAAGCACCGGCCAACUACGUGCCAGCAGCCGC
RNAcentral lists this ribosomal RNA (479 nucleotides) under uncultured bacterium. RNAcentral's name for it is "SSU rRNA". It matches the Rfam family "Bacterial small subunit ribosomal RNA", at positions 26 to 518 of the family's 1533-position model. The record is from RNAcentral.